RNAcentral lists this long non-coding RNA (1145 nucleotides) under Homo sapiens (human). Its description in RNAcentral is "HSALNT0181256". The record is from RNAcentral. Lineage: Eukaryota; Metazoa; Chordata; Mammalia; Primates; Hominidae.
GCCUCUUAACAUUUCUGUUUUAGAAUAUCAUCAUGUUCUGGUGAACUGGAAUUGUGAUGAAAGGAGUUUGGAUAAGAAGUAAAUUGGGGCAAGCUAGCCUGCUUUCCACCAGAGCAUCUCCCUCCAAAGAUGCAAGUGUGUGGAAAUGAGACUGCAGGGAGAACUUCCAGGCAACAAAGGAUGUUUCUCUACUUAUCUCCUCCCUGGAUGGCUGUAUAAGCCAGAUGACGGCUACCUGAACACUCUAGAAAAAGUGAAUUCACAGAGGCUUUCACAGGGCACAGCCUCGCAGUCUGGAGGGAGAAGAGGGCAAAGCAGUCUUCACGGAUGCCACCUACUGCCUAGCUGGGCAGAGAGCCAGUGGAUCAGAGAGGCCGGCUCUGUUCUUGGCAGGAAAUGAGGGGCUGGCAUGGAAAUGCCACCCAGGCUGGGAACAAGAUCUGUGGAGUGGCAGCCUGAGUGGGUGAGCUUGAUCUGCAGUCCUUUCAUCUCAAAGAGAAUGGCCAGCAAGGAGCCCAUUCAUGGAGCCUUGUUGGACAACUCCACCUACACAGUCUUCAGUGGUGCUCUGGAGAACAGAAGCUGACAACAGGCUAUGGUGAUCCAGAGUCCUCACCGUCUACUCUCCCAUCCCUUCAACCAAACUUUCCUGGGCAACUCUGAUGCCAGGCAUUUCUAGCACUGUGACAGAACCUGGUGGAGGACAGAGGGCUCCACUUCAAAGGAGCAUGAAGGCAUGUGUUGGUAAUGGAACCACAAGAUCAAACUGGCCUGAAUCCCUGAGUCAUCACAUGGAGGACAGCUGCCUACAAGAGUCUCCUGACCUAUAGUGGGCUCUGGAUGAGUGAGAAGUAUAAUAAAAUGUGUGCAUUAAUUACAGACCUUUUUGGCUUCUUUGUUAGUACAGCUAGACCUAUAACAUCCUGAUUAAUAUAUCUUUGUAUAAAGAUCAAUGUGUUGACUAUUAUAUUGAACUAGACACUUUUAAUUAUUGAUUUAAAAUAUAUUGUUGAUUUAAAAUGACCUAUAUUCUCUAAGAGUGAGCAGAAAAAUUGGAGAUUUUACCCAGUUUCAAGGGACUGAACAAGCUCUGAAUAUAUUUAAAGGGCAAUGGCAAACAAAAUAAAAAAAUUUUUGAAUAUGUC